Molecule: ribosomal RNA, 525 nt
Filed under: Streptomyces coelicolor
Lineage: Bacteria; Bacillati; Actinomycetota; Actinomycetes; Kitasatosporales; Streptomycetaceae
Description: bacterial SSU rRNA
Rfam family: Bacterial small subunit ribosomal RNA
Source: RNAcentral
GUACCUGCAGAAGAAGCGCCGGCUAACUACGUGCCAGCAGCCGGCCUAAUACGUAGGGCGCGAGCGUUGUCCGGAAUUAUUGGGCGUAAAGAGCUCGUAGGCGGCUUGUCACGUCGGUUGUGAAAGCCCGGGGCUUAACCCCGGGUCUGCAGUCGAUACGGGCAGGCUAGAGUUCGGUAGGGGAGAUCGGAAUUCCUGGUGUAGCGGUGAAAUGCGCAGAUAUCAGGAGGAACACCGGUGGCGAAGGCGGAUCUCUGGGCCGAUACUGACGCUGAGGAGCGAAAGCGUGGGGAGCGAACAGGAUUAGAUACCCUGGUAGUCCACGCCGUAAACGGUGGGCACUAGGUGUGGGCGACAUUCCACGUCGUCCGUGCCGCAGCUAACGCAUUAAGUGCCCCGCCUGGGGAGUACGGCCGCAAGGCUAAAACUCAAAGGAAUUGACGGGGGCCCGCACAAGCGGCGGAGCAUGUGGCUUAAUUCGACGCAACGCGAAGAACCUUACCAAGGCUUGACAUACACCGGAAA